Molecule: long non-coding RNA, 590 nt
Organism: Gasterosteus aculeatus aculeatus (three-spined stickleback)
Lineage: Eukaryota; Metazoa; Chordata; Actinopteri; Perciformes; Gasterosteidae
Source: Ensembl
UAGUAGAAUAAGGCUAUGGGUUAGUAUAAAACAAGGGAAUAAAGUUAAAGUUAAAAAUGUAAAAUAUUUAAAAAGUUUAAAAAAAAAUUAAGCAUAAAGUGCACUAGCGAACAAGUAACAAAGUGACGAGUGACGACAAAGUGAUAAAUGACAGUUAAAGACAGUCUGUGAUCCACUUGCAGGUGGAGUCGGGCACGUGCAGCUGGGAGAGUUUAUCCUGCAGCAGAGACGGGAUGAUGGUGUUGAAGGCAGAGCUGAAGUCCACAAACAGGAUCCUGGCGUAGGUUCCUGGGGAGUCCAGAUGCUGGAGGAUGUAGUGGAGGGCCAUGUUGACAGCAUCGUCCACAGACCUGUUGGCUCUGUAGGCGAACUGCAGGGGGUGUUGAAGAUGUCAGUGAACACCGGAGACAGCUGGUCAGCACAAUGCUUCAGGGUGUGAGGGGAGACGGAGUCCGGACCGGCUGCCUUACGGGGAUUUUGUCUUUUAAAGAGCCGGUUAACGUCUCUCUCCAGAAUAGAGAGGGUCGUUGCUGGUGAAGGAGGGGAAGGUGAUAUAGAUGAAGAGGCGUGAGCACCUGAUGGGUUGGGGG